GACGAACGCUGGCGGCGUGCUUAACACAUGCAAGUCGAACGGAAAGGCCCUGCUUUUGUGGGGUGCUCGAGCGGCGAACGGGUGAGUAACACGUGAGUAACCUGCCCUUGACUUUGGGAUAACUUCAGGAAACUGGGGCUAAUACCGGAUAGGAGCUCCUGCUGCAUGGUGGGGGGUGGAAAGUUUCGGCGGUUGGGGAUGGACUCGCGGCUUAUCAGCUUGUUGGUUGGGUAGUGGCUUACCAAGGCUUUGACGGGUAGCCGGCCUGAGAGGGUGACCGGCCACAUUGGGACUGAGAUACGGCCCAGACUCCUACGGGAGGCAGCAGUGGGGAAUAUUGCACAAUGGGCGGAAGCCUGAUGCAGCAACGCCGCGUGCGGGAUGACGGCCUUCGGGUUGUAAACCGCUUUCGCCUGUGACGAAGCGUGAGUGACGGUAAUGGGUAAAGAAGCACCGGCUAACUACGUG
This 468-nucleotide ribosomal RNA is filed under the name uncultured bacterium. Its description in RNAcentral is "partial 16S ribosomal RNA". It matches the Rfam family "Bacterial small subunit ribosomal RNA", at positions 28 to 507 of the family's 1533-position model. The record is from RNAcentral.